This 245-nucleotide ribosomal RNA is filed under the name uncultured bacterium. Its description in RNAcentral is "partial 16S ribosomal RNA". It matches the Rfam family "Bacterial small subunit ribosomal RNA", at positions 528 to 772 of the family's 1533-position model. The record is from RNAcentral.
UAGGGAGCGAGCGUUAUCCGGAAUUAUUGGGUGUAAAGGGUGCGUAGACGGGAAUACAAGUUAGUUGUGAAAUCCCUCGGCUUAACUGAGGAACUGCAACUAAAACUAUAUUUCUUGAGUGCAGGAGAGGUAAGUGGAAUUCCUAGUGUAGCGGUGAAAUGCGUAGAUAUUAGGAGGAACACCAGUGGCGAAGGCGACUUACUGGACUGUAACUGACGUUGAGGCACGAAAGUGUGGGGAGCAAA